Molecule: long non-coding RNA, 1842 nt
Filed under: Homo sapiens (human)
Lineage: Eukaryota; Metazoa; Chordata; Mammalia; Primates; Hominidae
Description: non-protein coding lnc-HHLA2-7:1
Source: RNAcentral
AGACCCGGGGCCCGCCUGCCCGCUCCACGGAGGCCGGAUGCCUGCUCCAGGGCGGUGGCACGCGCCGCGCUUCCAGGUCACGUCCUGUCGCACCCGCCCGCCCCUGGGGUCCGCGUGCUCGCCCGCCGCAGGAGGCUGAACCCUGUGUUCCCACGCUCGCCGGGGACCUCAUUGCACCCGUUCCUGUCCGCGGGUCGGUUCCUGCCUUUCGCGCGGCGCUGGGCCCCACUGUCCUCUCUCUCUACUUUUCUCCUCUUUGCUUUCACUCCCACCCUCGCGCUUCAGGGGCCGGGUCCCGUCCCGCCCCAGCCCGCGUCUCUCCCUGGACCCGACGUCCGGCUGCGCGCGUGGACCAGGACACCUAGGCUUUCACCAGCGCCCGUUUCCUCCGGACGCGGCCGUCUAGCGCCGAAGCGGUCCCUGAGCCCGAGGCCGCCACGCCCAGGGCAGGGCGGUGGUCGGGUACCUGCCCGCAGGGAGCUUCCACUCGCCCCUCGCGGGCUCUGCGUUCGGCUCGUCUACUCGCUCUGCUCUUCCCUAUGCGGUUCUCUUCCCUCUUUCUCACUUGGUUCUUUAGUGUUUUCAUCCUCUGAUCAGGGUUAAUCAAACAAGUUCCAUUCACGGUGGUAAACAUUGUUACCUGUGAACACCGCCACCACCGGGACUAGCGAGCAUUGUCGCAAACAGGCAUUAGCAGCGUAUCCAACACAUCCCCACCAGCAAGGUUAUUGAGCUUGGUUUGUGACUGCCCCAUGUGCAGCCCUCUGCGCUGCGCUUGGGUUUAACAUGCUUGAAAAAUGGGUUCGAAAUGUGGCCGCAAGCCACAAUAGGGACAAGGCUUUUGAAUUUAUCGCUGAAUCACACAGGCCACAUCAUUCAUCCUGAAGCAAAAGUCUUUUAAAGAUACUUUUAACCGUUAUCCUAACUGAUGUACUCUCUUAUCAAAAAGUCAGGCUCUGGUGGCUGCUCUAAUGGAGUGCACAUCCUGUCCACCUCCUUGAUUGUUUUCCUCCUACCUCCUGGGAAAGAAAGCAAUUUCCCACCACAAUACCCCACUUCUCCAAAUCCUCUACACAGUGCGGCUCCUCCCAAGCAUCCCAUUGCCACAGAAAUAAAAUCCAGCGUAUGAAAGUGGCACUGUCUAUGACACUCUGUACCAGUGUAUUGUAUACUAUCGAGCUUCUUCCUGUAAUUGCUUUUUUGUGUGAACCUCUUCCCCACAGCAUUAUCAAUUCUUUUAAAUCCGAGAGCAUUUUAAGUAUUCCCUCCUCCAAGACUUUCCAUUGAGCUCGGCAAACAGAAGGGGUUUAAUAAAUGUGUUGAUGCGGCGUGAGGCAGGCAUUGCUCUAGUGAAAUUUGAUUGCUUUUUUAAUGAUUGAAAAAUAAAAACAAUUGCCUGGCAGACAUCUCACUAAAACAAUGGUUAAUAAUUAUGGUGGUAAUGAUUUGAAUGGCAGCCUUGACACCCCGAGGCAACCAAAGGGACUCAUCGAUUCUCCUCCAACUGCUGCUUAUGUGGAUACAAAAGAAUCAUCCACCAGACUUUGAGCAUUAGGGACAUUGUGUAUCACAGAGCAGCUGGUUGGCUAAAUAAGGCUGUCAGCUGUCCCUGAUACCAACCAACCCCCCUAAAGCUGAAGAGUGACUAGAAAGGACUGUCCCCAACCUUCAGAGGUGGAGAUCGGGUGAUGUUCUGUUUUACACUGGGAGCUACUGAGCUAUAUGCUUAACGUCUUUUUGUGCAGAAAAUGGAAUGAGAGGCCACCUGGGUGACCACUGCUGCUCUUGGGAAUCUAGCUGGGGUAUGUUUUGGUGGUGGGGCAAAAGCAGGCAUAUCCCAGG